CGAAGGAUGCAAGCGUUAUCCGGAUUCAUUGGGUUUAAAGGGUGCGUAGGCGGACUUGUAAGUCAGUGGUGAAAUCUCUCAGCUUAACUGAGAAACUGCCAUUGAUACUGCAGGUCUAGAGUAUAGAUGACGUUGGCGGAAUAUGACAUGUAGUGGUGAAAUACUUAGAUAUGUCAUAGAACACCGAUUGCGAAGGCAGCUAACGAAACUAUAACUGACGCUGAGGCACGAAAGUGCGGGGAUCAAACAGGAUUAGAUACCCUGGUAGUCCGCACCGUAAACGAUGAUUACUCGUUGUUGGCGAUAUGACAGUCAGCGACCAAGCGAAAGCGAUAAGUAAUCCACCGUGGGGAGUACGCCGGCAACGGUG
This 370-nucleotide ribosomal RNA is filed under the name uncultured organism. Its description in RNAcentral is "bacterial SSU rRNA". It matches the Rfam family "Bacterial small subunit ribosomal RNA", at positions 526 to 896 of the family's 1533-position model. The record is from RNAcentral.